This 256-nucleotide ribosomal RNA is filed under the name uncultured bacterium. RNAcentral's name for it is "partial 16S ribosomal RNA". It matches the Rfam family "Bacterial small subunit ribosomal RNA", at positions 524 to 776 of the family's 1533-position model. The record is from RNAcentral.
UACGAAGGGUGCAAACGUUGCUCGGAAUUAUUGGGCGUAAAGCGCACGUAGGCGGUUCGUUAAGUCGGAUGUGAAAGCCCUCGGCUCAACUGAGGAAGUGCACCCGAAACUGGCGAGCUUGAGUACGAAAGAGGAUCGCGGAAUUCCCGGUGUAGAGGUGAAAUUCGUAGAUAUCGGGGAGGAACACCGGGUGGCGAAGGCGGCGAUCUGGGUCGAUACUGACGCGUGAGGUGCGAAAGCGUGGGGAGCAAACAGG